UAAGCUUAACACUAAGGAGUCGUUUAGUUGGUGGUUAGAGUUAUGCAAGUAUUAAUAACAUAGGAAUUAGUUACGCGGGUAUUAGUAAUGCAAAGAUCAGUUAUGCAUGGUCGUACAGUCGUUAGCAAAAGAGCUAGCCGCAUUUAUGGAAAUUAAGGAGAAGGCAAAUAGAAUAGAACAAAGUUAGGGGGCGAUAGCGGCCAUGGAUCGAUUCUAGGUGGUUCACUUGUAUACCCCUAUUCUCUGAGUUCACGUUCUGAUCUAGCACAGUGUUAAAUUAUUCAAGUAUUAGCAAUACAUAAAUUCCUUUGUAACUUAAUGUUACAACGAAACACUCAACCAACAAACCACUGUAUUAUUUUUAUACGGGGUAAUUUUAUGCUGGGAUUAAUUAUGUCGUAGAAUCAACCAUACA
This 415-nucleotide long non-coding RNA is filed under the name Solanum tuberosum (potato). Its description in RNAcentral is "long non-coding RNA (STUB_LNC002175)". The record is from RNAcentral. Lineage: Eukaryota; Viridiplantae; Streptophyta; Magnoliopsida; Solanales; Solanaceae.